Molecule: ribosomal RNA, 497 nt
Filed under: uncultured bacterium
Lineage: Bacteria
Description: partial 16S ribosomal RNA
Rfam family: Bacterial small subunit ribosomal RNA
Source: RNAcentral
GACGAACGCUGGCGGCGUGCCUAAUACAUGCAAGUUGAGCGAUGAAGAUUGGUGCUUGCACCAAUUUGAAGAGCAGCGAACGGGUGAGUAACGCGUGGGGAAUCUGCCUUUGAGCGGGGGACAACAUUUGGAAACGAAUGCUAAUACCGCAUAACAACUUUAAACAUAAGUUUUAAGUUUGAAAGAUGCAAUUGCAUCACUCAAAGAUGAUCCCGCGUUGUAUUAGCUAGUUGGUGAGGUAAAGGCUCACCAAGGCGAUGAUACAUAGCCGACCUGAGAGGGUGAGCGGCCACAUUGGGACUGAGACACGGCCCAAACGCCUACGGGAGGCAGCAGUAGGGAAUCUGCGGCAAUGGACGAAAGUCUGACCGAGCAACGCCGCGUGAGUGAAGAAGGUUUUCGGAUCGUAAAACUCUGUUGGUAGAGAAGAACGUUGGUGAGAGUGGAAAGCUCAUCAAGUGACGGUAACUACCCAGAAAGGGACGGCUAACUACGUG